Arabidopsis thaliana (thale cress) is the source of this 302-nucleotide long non-coding RNA. RefSeq annotates it as other RNA. The record is from RefSeq. NCBI's taxonomy places the organism in Eukaryota, Viridiplantae, Streptophyta, Magnoliopsida, Brassicales, Brassicaceae. The transcript has a single exon.
GUAAUCUCCGAUCACCGUCUCUCUUCCAAACUCUCCUCUUUCUUCGUUGUCACCUCUAUUUCUUCACAAACGAAUUCUAUAUCUAAGUCUCUAUUUGGAUCAUCAACUUCAUCGUUUUUACAUGCAACACACAAUCAUCACCAAAUAAUUAACAAAACUAGAGAGUUGGAAAAGAAAUACAAAAACAAGGAAAAGAUAGAGAAAUAUUACACGAGUUUGGGAUGGACUAAACUUUUAAUUUGAUGAAUUGGGGGUGAAAAUCAUGGUUUUGUAAUCUAAAGUGAAGAUGGAGAGGACAUAGA